Molecule: ribosomal RNA, 456 nt
Filed under: uncultured bacterium
Lineage: Bacteria
Description: bacterial SSU rRNA
Rfam family: Bacterial small subunit ribosomal RNA
Source: RNAcentral
GAGAUAACUCCUACGGGAGGCAGCAGUGGGGAAUUUUGGACAAUGGGGGCAACCCUGAUCCAGCAAUGCCGCGUGAGUGAUGAAGGCCUUAGGGUUGUAAAGCUCUUUUACCAGGGAUGAUAAUGACAGUACCUGGAGAAUAAGCUCCGGCUAACUCCGUGCCAGCAGCCGCGGUAAUACGGAGGGAGCUAGCGUUGUUCGGAGUUACUGGGCGUAAAGCGCACGUAGGCGGCUACUCAAGUCAGAGGUGAAAGCCCAGGGCUCAACCCUGGAACUGCCUUUGAAACUAGGUAGCUAGAAUCUUGGAGAGGUCAGUGGAAUUCCGAGUGUAGAGGUGAAAUUCGUAGAUAUUCGGAAGAACACCAGUGGCGAAGGCGACUGACUGGACAAGUAUUGACGCUGAGGUGCGAAAGCGUGGGGAGCAAACAGGAUUAGAAACCCCAGUAGUCCUCCACU